CCUACGGGUGGCAGCAGUGAGGAAUAUUGGUCAAUGGACGAGAGUCUGAACCAGCCAAGUAGCGUGAAGGAUGACUGCCCUCUGGGUUGUAAACUUCUUUUAUAUGGGAAUAAACUGUUCCACGUGUGGGAUUUUGUAUGUACCAUAUGAAUAAGGAUCGGCUAACUCCGUGCCAGCAGCCGCGGUAAUACGGAGGAUCCGAGCGUUAUCCGGAUUUAUUGGGUUUAAAGGGAGCGUAGGUGGAUUGUUAAGUCAGUUGUGAAAGUUUGGGGCUCAACCGUAAAACUGCAGUUGAAACUGGCAGUCUUGAGUACAGUAGAGGUGGGCGGAAUUCGUGGUGUAGCGGUGAAAUGCUUAGAUAUCACGAAGAACUCCGAUUGCGAAGGCAGUUCACUGGACUGCAACUGACACUGAGGCUCGAAAGUGUGGGUAUCAAACAGGAUUAGAUACCCGUGUAGUC
RNAcentral lists this ribosomal RNA (460 nucleotides) under uncultured bacterium. Its description in RNAcentral is "partial 16S ribosomal RNA". It matches the Rfam family "Bacterial small subunit ribosomal RNA", at positions 338 to 795 of the family's 1533-position model. The record is from RNAcentral.